AAGCCACCUGGUGACUCUGCUUACUUGGAUGUGUUUCUGCAGAAGUUUAGAAAAAACUGCCAGUGGUAAUGCCAUGUUGUGAGCCUUAAGGACACUGAAGUCACUAAUGUUCCGAGAGAUGGCUGCAGCA
Molecule: small nucleolar RNA, 130 nt
Filed under: Sciurus vulgaris (Eurasian red squirrel)
Lineage: Eukaryota; Metazoa; Chordata; Mammalia; Rodentia; Sciuridae
Description: Small nucleolar RNA SNORA33 (ENSSVLG00005010622.1)
Rfam family: Small nucleolar RNA SNORA33
About the family: ACA33 is a member of the H/ACA class of snoRNA that guide the sites of modification of uridines to pseudouridines.
Source: Rfam by way of RNAcentral